GGGUUGUGAGGUUAAGCGACUAAGCGUACACGGUGGAUGCCCUGGCAGUCAGAGGCGAUGAAGGACGUGCUAAUCUGCGAUAAGCGUCGGUAAGGUGAUAUGAACCGUUAUAACCGGCGAUUUCCGAAUGGGGAAACCCAGUGUGAUUCGUCACACUAUCAUUAACUGAAUCCAUAGGUUAAUGAGGCGAACCGGGGGAACUGAAACAUCUAAGUACCCCGAGGAAAAGAAAUCAACCGAGAUUCCCCCAGUAGCGGCGAGCGAACGGGGAGCAGCCCAGAGCCUGAAUCAGUGUGUGUGUUAGUGGAAGCGUCUGGAAAGGCGUGCGAUACAGGGUGACAGCCCCGUACACAAAAAUGCACAUAUUGUGAGCUCGAUGAGUAGGGCGGGACACGUGGUAUCCUGUCUGAAUAUGGGGGGACCAUCCUCCAAGGCUAAAUACUCCUGACUGACCGAUAGUGAACCAGUACCGUGAGGGAAAGGCGAAAAGAACCCCGGCGAGGGGAGUGAAAAAGAACCUGAAACCGUGUACGUACAAGCAGUGGGAGCACGCUUAGGCGUGUGACUGCGUACCUUUUGUAUAAUGGGUCAGCGACUUAUAUUCUGUAGCAAGGUUAACCGAAUAGGGGAGCCGAAGGGAAACCGAGUCUUAACUGGGCGUUAAGUUGCAGGGUAUAGACCCGAAACCCGGUGAUCUAGCCAUGGGCAGGUUGAAGGUUGGGUAACACUAACUGGAGGACCGAACCGACUAAUGUUGAAAAAUUAGCGGAUGACUUGUGGCUGGGGGUGAAAGGCCAAUCAAACCGGGAGAUAGCUGGUUCUCCCCGAAAGCUAUUUAGGUAGCGCCUCGUGAAUUCAUCUCCGGGGGUAGAGCACUGUUUCGGCAAGGGGGUCAUCCCGACUUACCAACCCGAUGCAAACUGCGAAUACCGGAGAAUGUUAUCACGGGAGACACACGGCGGGUGCUAACGUCCGUCGUGAAGAGGGAAACAACCCAGACCGCCAGCUAAGGUCCCAAAGUCAUGGUUAAGUGGGAAACGAUGUGGGAAGGCCCAGACAGCCAGGAUGUUGGCUUAGAAGCAGCCAUCAUUUAAAGAAAGCGUAAUAGCUCACUGGUCGAGUCGGCCUGCGCGGAAGAUGUAACGGGGCUAAACCAUGCACCGAAGCUGCGGCAGCGACACUAUGUGUUGUUGGGUAGGGGAGCGUUCUGUAAGCCUGUGAAGGUGUACUGUGAGGUAUGCUGGAGGUAUCAGAAGUGCGAAUGCUGACAUAAGUAACGAUAAAGCGGGUGAAAAGCCCGCUCGCCGGAAGACCAAGGGUUCCUGUCCAACGUUAAUCGGGGCAGGGUGAGUCGACUCCUAAGGCGAGGCCGAAAGGCGUAGUCGAUGGGAAACAGGUUAAUAUUCCUGUACUUGGUGUUACUGCGAAGGGGGGACGGAGAAGGCUAUGUUGGCCGGGCGACGGUUGUCCCGGUUUAAGCGUGUAGGCUGGUUUUCCAGGCAAAUCCGGAAAACUAAGGCUGAGGCGUGAUGACGAGGCACUACGGUGCUGAAGCAACAAAUGCCCUGCUUCCAGGAAAAGCCUCUAAGCAUCAGGUAACAUCAAAUCGUACCCCAAACCGACACAGGUGGUCAGGUAGAGAAUACCAAGGCGCUUGAGAGAACUCGGGUGAAGGAACUAGGCAAAAUGGUGCCGUAACUUCGGGAGAAGGCACGCUGAUAUGUAGGUGAAGUCCCUCGCGGAUGGAGCUGAAAUCAGUCGAAGAUACCAGCUGGCUGCAACUGUUUAUUAAAAACACAGCACUGUGCAAACACGAAAGUGGACGUAUACGGUGUGACGCCUGCCCGGUGCCGGAAGGUUAAUUGAUGGGGUCAGCGCAAGCGAAGCUCUUGAUCGAAGCCCCGGUAAACGGCGGCCGUAACUAUAACGGUCCUAAGGUAGCGAAAUUCCUUGUCGGGUAAGUUCCGACCUGCACGAAUGGCGUAAUGAUGGCCAGGCUGUCUCCACCCGAGACUCAGUGAAAUUGAACUCGCUGUGAAGAUGCAGUGUACCCGCGGCAAGACGGAAAGACCCCGUGAACCUUUACUAUAGCUUGACACUGAACAUUGAGCCUUGAUGUGUAGGAUAGGUGGGAGGCUUUGAAGUGUGGACGCCAGUCUGCAUGGAGCCGACCUUGAAAUACCACCCUUUAAUGUUUGAUGUUCUAACGUUGACCCGUAAUCCGGGUUGCGGACAGUGUCUGGUGGGUAGUUUGACUGGGGCGGUCUCCUCCUAAAGAGUAACGGAGGAGCACGAAGGUUGGCUAAUCCUGGUCGGACAUCAGGAGGUUAGUGCAAUGGCAUAAGCCAGCUUGACUGCGAGCGUGACGGCGCGAGCAGGUGCGAAAGCAGGUCAUAGUGAUCCGGUGGUUCUGAAUGGAAGGGCCAUCGCUCAACGGAUAAAAGGUACUCCGGGGAUAACAGGCUGAUACCGCCCAAGAGUUCAUAUCGACGGCGGUGUUUGGCACCUCGAUGUCGGCUCAUCACAUCCUGGGGCUGAAGUAGGUCCCAAGGGUAUGGCUGUUCGCCAUUUAAAGUGGUACGCGAGCUGGGUUUAGAACGUCGUGAGACAGUUCGGUCCCUAUCUGCCGUGGGCGCUGGAGAACUGAGGGGGGCUGCUCCUAGUACGAGAGGACCGGAGUGGACGCAUCACUGGUGUUCGGGUUGUCAUGCCAAUGGCACUGCCCGGUAGCUAAAUGCGGAAGAGAUAAGUGCUGAAAGCAUCUAAGCACGAAACUUGCCCCGAGAUGAGUUCUCCCUGACUCCUUGAGAGUCCUGAAGGAACGUU
RNAcentral lists this ribosomal RNA (2826 nucleotides) under Shigella dysenteriae. RNAcentral's name for it is "partial 23S ribosomal RNA". It matches the Rfam family "Bacterial large subunit ribosomal RNA". The record is from RNAcentral. Lineage: Bacteria; Pseudomonadati; Pseudomonadota; Gammaproteobacteria; Enterobacterales; Enterobacteriaceae.